CCAGAUUCCAAGCGCCGCCAGACCAGUAGUCAGAACUGGGGCUCCCAACCCAUUGCUCAGCAGCCGCUCCAUGGCGGGGACCAUGCUGCAGGAAAAAGGGCCGGAGGUCGCCGCUGACGAGUCGCUGUGAGGCCGGGCGGCGCCCCCUGCUGGAGGGAACGGUAAGGUCAGCUGACUCAGAGGAACCUCCGGCGCUGGACGGGAUCCUUCUGGACCGAGCUUAGCCGCCAGCUUGGAGUGAACUCUGGUUUUGUUUUGAAGACGGACUCGAUGAUCUGGGAUCAGCGCCGAGCCGUUCCAGCCGACCGCUAACUACCUCAGAGGACCAGAGUCCGGACCGGACGGCGCCGGAGGUCCGCCCCGGCCCAGGCCGUCCUCAGGCCUCCGGUUCUGGCCCAGAGGAGGGGACCCAACGGACCCCGGCGUGGAGUCCAUCAUCAGGCGCCAAGCAGAAGUUAGUCAAACAUGUUUAUCAGAACCGCCUCCAAUGGACCCAGACCGCCAUCAGAGCAGCACAGAACUAGAACUUUUAACAAAUUGGGCUUAAAAUCAGCGACUAAAAGUUCUGAUAAAUGACCCGGCUGGUUUCACUUACAGGAACAUUCAGAGUAAAGCUAGAAACGCUGGAGCCAAGAACGCUUUCAAAGUUAGCUAAAGCUAAGAGCUAGCACCGCUACUAGCUUAAGCAAAUUAUCCGACGUUUUAUUUCUCACGUAAAUGUAAAAUAAAUGUUUCAAGUGAAUUAUUUUUAAAUCCGUUUCCUCAGAUCAGAAACUGAUCAAAUUUAAACGGAUUUUAACAGAAAUCACUGAAAAGCUCCAUUUUCUGAUUUUUAUUUCUCACCCUGAACGCCUCGUUAGCCCAGCUCUAGAACCGGACCGGCGGUCAGAACCGGGUUCUGGUUCCUGAUGAUCCGGCUCCACUCUGCCGGGUCGCUGGUUCCCCAGCUGAGGAUGGGGUUGCCAUGGCAACAGAUGGAGCUGCAGCCUGAAGGUCGUCGGGUUCAUUCGGUUCUGUUCCGGAGCGGUCACAUGACCCAACCCACGCUCCCCCUGCAGACCCGGUUCCGGUCCAGAGCCAGAACCGUUUGGGUCAGAAAGCUGGCCUGGCUUCCUUUGGUGGCUCAGAGCUGAAAGGCAUUGUGGGAGAUGUAGUCGAGCACAGGACCGUGUUGCUGCUUUUCUGCCAUUAAACAGAAUCUGGACCCAGGUUCUGGUCGGAUUCUGAUGAGCUGCUUUCAGAGAGU
Poecilia reticulata (guppy) is the source of this 1246-nucleotide non-coding RNA. The record is from RefSeq and is a predicted model, not a curated record. Lineage: Eukaryota; Metazoa; Chordata; Actinopteri; Cyprinodontiformes; Poeciliidae.